This 382-nucleotide ribosomal RNA is filed under the name uncultured bacterium. Its description in RNAcentral is "partial 16S ribosomal RNA". It matches the Rfam family "Bacterial small subunit ribosomal RNA", at positions 355 to 729 of the family's 1533-position model. The record is from RNAcentral.
UGGGGAAUUUUGGACAAUGGGCGAAAGCCUGAUCCAGCAAUGCCGCGUGUGUGAAGAAGGCCUUCGGGUUGUAAAGCACUUUUGUCCGGAAAGAAAUCCUCUGGGUUAAUACCUCGGGGGGAUGACGGUACCGGAAGAAUAAGCACCGGCUAACUACGUGCCAGCAGCCGCGGUAGUACGUAGGGUGCAAGCGUUAAUCGGAAUUACUGGGCGUAAAGCGUGCGCAGGCGGUUUUGUAAGACGGAUGUGAAAUCCCCGGGCUUAACCUGGGAACUGCAUUCGUGACUGCAAGGCUAGAGUAUGGCAGAGGGGGGUAGAAUUCCACGUGUAGCAGUGAAAUGCGUAGAGAUGUGGAGGAAUACCGAUGGCGAAGGCAGCCCCU